RNAcentral lists this long non-coding RNA (1390 nucleotides) under Homo sapiens (human). RNAcentral describes it as "HSALNT0322699". Lineage: Eukaryota; Metazoa; Chordata; Mammalia; Primates; Hominidae. The record is from RNAcentral.
CUACAGGCGCCCGCCACCACGCCCGGCUAAUUUUUUGUAUUUUAGUAGAGACGGGGUUUCACCGUGUUAGCCAGGAUGGUCUCGAUCUCCUGACAUCGUGAUCCACCCGCCUCGGCCUCCUAAAGUGCUGGAAUUACAGGCGUGAGCCACCACGCCCGGCCUAAAAUUAUUUUUCAAAACUACUAACAGACCAAGGGUUCAGCUAGCUUAACAGUCCACGAGUCUGUCUAGAUAUACUUUGAGCUUCACAUCCUUUUUUUAGUAAUAAGCUCCAUGCGGGAGGAGAUCUCGGAGAGAUUUCUUUUUGUAUCCAUGGCAACACUUACCUACUUAGAAGCCUCAAAUUAUCGUUCCUAGGUUACGAAAGUAAAAACUCUGGAUUAAAACAUUCUGCCCACUCCAUGUUUUAAAUAGAGAAGAGAUAAGAAAAAUCUGUGUUGGAAACCAAUGGUACACACACUGCUUCAGUAAGGGAAGAAGUCACCACACAUCCCAGCUGGAGGAGGGAACAUGACUGGCUCACUUCAGCACCCUCACCAUUGUUCCAGAUAUCCAAGGCCCUCCUUGGACCUCAACAAGACUUAAGCCGCUGCAGAGACGGUGUAAAUGUGGAGUGGCUGGUUGGGGACAGAGUGAAACUCCUGGAAUCAGAUGGUGAUCUGCUGAUAAGCUGGGUCUGUGCCAGCCAGCAGAGUCCAUGCGUGCAAGAGCCUGGAGUCUCCCCCUGUGAAGGCUUGGGGCUGGUUGGGCAGUAAGCCUCACAGUAAUCCUUAGUCCUGUUAGAUGGGAGUUCUAAAUUUAUUUUCAAAGAAUUAAUAUGUCAGUAUGUUCAAUUCUUUGCCUUCUACUUUUAAACUUAACUUCCUCAUAAAGCAACCUUUUUCCAUUACCUACCCCACCCUAACUCAUUCUGAUCACCUGCUCCACCCUAACUCAUUCUGACCACCUGCUCCACUCUAACUCAUUAGGAUUACCUGCUACCUGCUCUGCCCUGACUCCCGCCAAAGCUCUCAUCCCAUCAUUCUCUUUCAAUUAGCCAAUCGGAAUUAGUUUAGCCUGUGUGGUCUAACCCUAGCUAACAGGAGAAUGACACAGCGGCUGCAGCCAAGUUCGUCAGGGAUAAGAACCCCUUCCCCUCCCUUGUCCACCUGGGCGCUCACCAUUGUUCCAUCUGUAAGGGCGCACCGUUCUAUAUAGAAGUAACUUGCCUUGCUGAGAAUUAAAAAGAAAAUUUUAUAUUCGAGUGCUAUUUCUUUUGCGGCACCAAAACUUUAUGUGUAAUAGUCCACCUACUCUGCACUUCUUGCGCACCAGGCUCCUACUUUCUGUGACAUUUUUUCCUAGGUUUAUGUCCCAAUCACCAGUUCCUAUCAUCUCACUUCAUGUGCUU